This 640-nucleotide ribosomal RNA is filed under the name uncultured bacterium. Its description in RNAcentral is "bacterial SSU rRNA". It matches the Rfam family "Bacterial small subunit ribosomal RNA", at positions 8 to 694 of the family's 1533-position model. The record is from RNAcentral.
AGAGUUUGAUCCUGGCUCAGAACGAACGCUGGCGGCAUGCCUAACACAUGCAAGUCGAACGAGACCUUCGGGUCUAGUGGCGCACGGGUGCGUAACGCGUGGGAACCUGCCUUUAGGUUCGGAAUAACUCAGAGAAAUUUGAGCUAAUACCGGAUAAUGUCUUCGGACCAAAGAUUUAUCGCCUUUAGAUGGGCCCGCGUUGGAUUAGCUAGUUGGUGGGGUAAAGGCCUACCAAGGCGACGAUCCAUAGCUGGUCUGAGAGGAUGAUCAGCCACACUGGGACUGAGACACGGCCCAGACUCCUACGGGAGGCAGCAGUGGGGAAUAUUGGACAAUGGGCGAAAGCCUGAUCCAGCAAUGCCGCGUGAGUGAUGAAGGCCUUAGGGUUGUAAAGCUCUUUUACCCGAGAUGAUAAUGACAGUAUCGGGAGAAUAAGCUCCGGCUAACUCCGUGCCAGCAGCCGCGGUAAUACGGAGGGAGCUAGCGUUGUUCGGAAUUACUGGGCGUAAAGCGCACGUAGGCGGCUUUUUAAGUCAGGGGUGAAAUCUCGGGGCUCAACCCCGGAACUGCCCUUGAAACUGGGAAGCUAGAAUCUUGGAGAGGCGAGUGGAAUUCCGAGUGUAGCGGUGAAAUGCGUAGA